GACGUAGGGCGCGAGCGUUGUCCGGAUUUAUUGGGCGUAAAGAGCUCGUAGGCGGCUUGUCGCGUCGAAUGUGAAAUCUCAGGGCUCAACUCUGUCAUUGCAUUCGAUACGGGCAGGCUAGAGUGCGGCAGGGGAGACUGGAAUUCCUGGUGUAGCGGUGAAAUGCGCAGAUAUCAGGAGGAACACCGGUGGCGAAGGCGGGUCUCUGGGCCGUUACUGACGCUGAGGAGCGAAAGCGUGGGGAGCGAACAGG
RNAcentral lists this ribosomal RNA (253 nucleotides) under uncultured prokaryote. RNAcentral describes it as "partial 16S ribosomal RNA". It matches the Rfam family "Bacterial small subunit ribosomal RNA", at positions 524 to 776 of the family's 1533-position model. The record is from RNAcentral.